GAACCAUGAUGAGGACAUUUCCACAGGAGAUCCUUAAACCUAUUCCAUGUCUCAAAAAGAGACUCCAAUUCUAUUCGCACAAAAAAGGAUAUUUCAUUACUAAGUUU
Molecule: small nucleolar RNA, 107 nt
Organism: Dioscorea cayenensis subsp. rotundata (Guinea yam)
Lineage: Eukaryota; Viridiplantae; Streptophyta; Magnoliopsida; Dioscoreales; Dioscoreaceae
Source: RefSeq, a predicted model, not a curated record